Molecule: long non-coding RNA, 580 nt
Filed under: Pan troglodytes (chimpanzee)
Lineage: Eukaryota; Metazoa; Chordata; Mammalia; Primates; Hominidae
Description: long non-coding RNA NONPTRT005872
Source: RNAcentral
ACUGGAUCGCUUACCUGCCUGGAAGUCUUGUCUGGCAUGUUCCUCAGACAGUGUUGAUGGAAGCUGCUGAGUGACACUCCGGUCCUUUGAGCCUGGCAAGUUGUGCGGAGAAACGGAGGGAGGCGGUUGUGGACAUGGCGAGGCUACAUCACGGUUUGCUGUGGAUGUUGGGGCCUGGUGGUCACUGAGAUGUCUGUGGGGCCACACGCUGCCUGCUGUACCCAUGGGAGCGAGGGCACCCUGUGUGGGUGUCCCAGCUUCUUCGGCGUCACGACUCCCUGAGCUUUCUCCAAACAGUUACAAACGUUUCUUCUCAUCUGGCUUGAAGUUCGUGGCUCCGAAGUGGCCAAUUCCAGGGGACACUAUCUUCAGAGGCUCCUCCGUGUUUCAUUGUCCUGAUGUGUCGUCGGCUGCUUAUCCCCAGGGCUAGCUGAGGGUUUCGCGGGAGGUUCUAGCUGUGUGUCUUUAGGUGACUGGACAGCCGUGCGUGGCUUCCCUGUGCCUACUGUUGGUGUUGGGCACCACUGACCACUGCAGCCCAGAGCCCCUUCUCCUCCCCUGCACUUGGUUAGGGUUUGCU